GUGGCUUUCAGUUCUAGGACUCUGGAAUCCAGUGGCCCUGAACCUCUGUGGCUAACCAAGUUCUUUGGUUGCUGGUUGGAGCUUCUCAACCAAUACUUCUCCUCUCCUAGAAAUCCAAAGAUCUGGUGACACCACAGCUCCAAUAAGUGGGACUUGGUUGCUGGCAGGCUCCAGUGGUUUUGAAACCUGAGUGUGUGUCAGUCACUUGGAGGGCCUGGUCAACACAAGGAAGACUGGGAGCCACCGGAAGCUCCUGAUUCAGGUAACCAAGGAAGAACCAGAUAAUUGUGCUUCUUACAAACCUGCAGGCACCGAGUCUUCCUGGAACUGCUCACGUGAUUUAGGAGUCCAUUUUAACAGUAACUGUCAGAGCUUAGUAACUUUUUCAGAGCUUAGUCUGUGUCGGCCAUUUGUCAUAGCACUGUGCUGGAUUGACUUUAAUCUUACAUCCCAACCCUAUUAGGAAGGUAUUAUCCUCAAUUUAUACAAGAAGAAACUGAAACUCAGAGAGGUUAAGUGACUUGUCCGAGGUCACACAUUUUGGUGAAUGGCAAAACCAGGACCUAAAUGCAAAUCAUCAGACUACUGAGUCUUGUUAUAAUAUCAUUUAUAAACCAUGCUGAGACACUUAGGAAAAAGUAAGGAGACACCAUUAAUAAACAUGCCAAGGCAAGAUGUAAGCCAGGACUCUCCUGGGCAAGCCAAGACAUAAGGUUACCUGAGUGGAGUUUGAAUUGAGUCUUGGACACAUGAAGGUUAGCAUUGGGGAAAACUAAAGAAAGACUAAGGUUUAUGCUGAACAUCUCCGUGAUGAAGUUUGUCAGAUGUUUCCUCUCCAUUCCAACUGUUGCAAUACUCCAGACAGAACAAAACAAGGAAAUGUCUUUUUUUGUUUCGUUUUGUUUUGUGCACUCUGACAUGAUUUUGCAGCCACUCACAAAGCCCUGGAGAACCAGCAUCAGGAUUUAGUCCACCAGGCAGGGACGUACAGACAUGGACAUUUCGGAAGAGAAAUUGGGCUGUGGUUUUUGAGAAAUUCUGAAUGUAGGUAUUUUUGCACAAAAUCCUGCCCAUCACAAUGGGUUUUACAGUAAGAGCAACAGCUGCUGGGGACUUAGUCCUCGCUGAUUUAUGCAAAGAGGAAGGGAAAAUUCCAUACUUUCUCAGACCCGUUGUGGGGAAUUCUAAACAGGCUCAAUAGUACCCUCUAGUGGGCAAAAGGGGAAUGCGCGGGGGCUCAGAGGACAAGGAGACAGCCAAAAGACUGGAGAAAAGUAAGAAGAAAUAUUCUGCAGAAGUGAAUUAAGUAUCCAAGUGCUCUGUGAUAUAGACAGGUACUUUAGUUUAAAGGUUUAACAGAUGGUGGAUCUGAUAAAAUAUAAUUCUCUAUAAAACACUGAUCCCGUGUGAUAUUGCAUCCACACAACACACAGCACAGUGAGCUCAGAACCCUCUGCAUGCAGGACAGUGAGUGAAGGACCCAGGCAGGUGAGCCCGGGGAGGGGGGGUCACUCCAUUCCCCACAAACCAUUGGCCAUUGGACUCCCGCCAUAAUCCAUCAUCCCCUGGGCAACUGCUUGUGGAAAGAUACCUGGACAACGCUAGCCAGAAAAAUACCAGUUUCCCCCUUAAGCUCCCACAUAACAGAAGUUUUGAUGGUGAAGCUUUAAUUGCUUUAUUUUUGCUUACAGAGAUCAAAUUAAAUAGUAAACCAACAGCACUGACACAGGGACAAAAGAACAGGGCGAAGACAAAAUCAAGUAUGUGAUUAAUCAUGCCAUGAACUGGGAGAUUCUGCAAGAGGCUGAGAGGUCACCAGCAACACCCACCCCACGUACCAUCCAUGUCUUUAGGCAGGAGACAACCUUCUGCAUUCCGUUCACUGCCCUGACUCCAUUUUUCUGUCAAAGUUCAGCUGUAUCUGAGGUUUAUUUCGAGGGUCUCCCUCCUCAGAUUUCUCAUGACUAACUGUCCCCAUGAGCAAUUGCCUUUCAAGUUUCUUUUCAGUUUCAAUGAACUUCAGUUAGAUCACCAUUCCUUUUACUCAUCAAAGGCACAUGGAACUUUUAUAUAUGUACAAAACAGUGUUGGGAAUAUAUAUCUGAAAACAGACAACAACCCCAUCUUCAUAAUUUUCCCACUGAAGGAGGAUGUGAGGAAGGGACUAGGCAGGCUCAAUCCUGGAAAAGUUAGCAGAUGGAGAUGUGGUAAAAGCUGCAAGGACAUUGCUUUAUAGAUUAUAUCCAGCAGAGAUGUCACCUCCAUCACAUGCACCUAGUCAUGGGUAGGUAUUCUAUAAAUGUUAGCUUUUAUUGUGUGUCGCUACUACUAUUGCUGCUGUAGUAAUUUACAUGUAUUUCUUUUGCUAUUCCUGCACAGUCACAUAAUAGAAGGGUGAAAUGCCAGUCUCUUCCACAAAUGCUUUAUUUAGUGAAAUUACUCCAUUACUCAGGGAGUGGUGAAUCCCAACACCAAUAACAGUUUAUUUCUCUAUUUGUAAAAGGCUACUAUCAAGAAACACUGUUCAGCAGAUUUCAUUGAUUCUUCAAUUUCUUCCUUCAUUCAUUCAACUAACACAUUACUUAUGGAGUUCACUUUGUGUGCCAAACCUUAUGCUAAGGAUGGGAAGUAGAGUAAUUAAGAAAAUGGGCAUGGCCUUUGCCCUCCCGGAGCUCUCUGUGUCCCAAGAUUUUUGGAUAUCAAGAACUUCAACAACCUUAGAUGAGGUUGUUGAAGCCAGAAUUAGACAGGGAGUCAUUAUAGAUAGGUAAAUCGAGUCAGGUAAAUAGAGUUGGGUGGGCUCAAGGAGGCCAAUCUGAGUGAGUCUGGGAAGUUGGAGACUGUCCCCUGAGAGACUGAAAUGUUAAUUCCUUCAGAGCCCUUCCUCCACCCUUAUUAAGAACCUGCCCCUGCUCCAAACUGUUGCUAAGGUAACCUGACCCAGGAAUUGCCCCUCCCUACAGGGAGUUAUAAAAUUGUUAAUUAAUGUGUCUGGGGCUGCUCUAUCCUGCCCUUCCCCCAUCCAUCUGCUUCUCACCUUUUGGCCACCCACUGAGCAUCUCCUGGGCCUAGUCCUGUAAGCAGGAAGGAGGGAGAUAGGGGAAGAGAGCAGGAGGACAAAGGAAGCCUAGGACAUAUAAAAAGUCAAACACCCUCACUUCUUGGGAUACCAGGAUACCAGGCCCCCUUUGCCCUCCCUGGAGAAAUCUGUUACCCCUUUUUAAGUAAGCCCUGCUUUAUAUGCCUACCUCGGCGUGCUUCUCUAGUGUUAUACUUCAACAUGUGAAGGAGCAGCACAACUGGUCACUGAUAACUGGCAGUAUCAUUAUGUCAUGAAGGACGUCAAACUCAGCCUCCAGUAUCUGGAAGAGACAAUCUCAUUGUGCUUACCUGGAGCUGUGCCUGGUUCCAUGGGUACCUUCUGAGGUGUCUGCUGCAUGAAUGAACUGGUGAGUGAAGACUGGGAGGGUUGACAAGAGGAAUUAUUGCUAAAAUUUCAUUUGCUGUGCAAAUAACGAUCAUGAGGAACAGAGGGGUGUUCAUGGAAAUGCCUGGGAGUGAAUGAGUUCCUAUCGUGUGGUCACUACAAUGUUGACACUUUCUGACCAUUGCCUCCCAGCAGCCGUAGGAUUUAGCAUCAUUACUCCAAUUUUAGAGAUGAGAAAACAACAACAACAACAACAACAAAGUUUUGGGAUAUUAUUUAUAAUUUGGAAGCACGGAUAGUAAAGGAAUUGGGGACCAGAGAACAUGCUCAUGUCUGCCUUCUCCAGUCAUUCCCUAAAUCCCAUUUUUCUCACUGGGGAACAAGAGCUUCUUCUCCAGUCCAUAAUGAUGGGAAUGGAUGAGGUGACAGUCCAGCCUCAUCUGCCACAGCAGGAGAUGAGGAUCCUUUAGCAGAGACUAAUUCCCUGAAGGCAAUCAUCUCCCAACAUGCCUGAUGGGCAACUCUGAUAGUGAAGUCUCGCUUUCCUCCCAACAUUUUUCAAAUCAAGGAAAACAGCCACAGGUUUCCUGAACAUCGAAAGACCAGGGUCACUGUGCUGAGUGAAUUUUGAUACAGAACUUGGUUGCAUGGGACCUGGGGAUGGGAACUGAACGUCACCUGGUGCAGCUGUUCAUUUGAUGAAUCUCUCUAUUCCGUCCCCACCAUUCUACCCACCUGCCUGCACCUGACACUGCUAGGCUGGAGAUCUGGCUCAUGUUUCCAAAAGUGGCCCAUUUCACGUUCAGAAGGAGCCUUCUGGAAAGCCUACCCCAUGUUAAGCUGCAACCUGCUUCCAGCAGCUUCUCCUCUCCGGUUUUCAUUUUCUCCAUUGAGAGCCAUUUGGAAAUCCCAUCGUGUCCACGUCACUCCUAUGCUAUCUGCCACACCACAUACUUAGACUCCCAAUAUUUUUUUCAUCCAACUCAUUUUAACUUUACUUAUUUUAAUCUCCAAUGAAGCAAUAAUGCUUUGUAAUACAUUUUUUUUGUUUUCCUAACAAAUAUGAAUUAUAGUAUUGUUAGUGUGUUUUUAAUUAUAUAAAAAUCAUGCAUUACUCAAUGAUGCAAUACACUAUGAGGAAUGCAUCGCUAGGCAAUUUUGUCAUGGUGGUUAUUGGCAUCAGAUCAAUAUUGGCAUCAGAUCCACCAUUUUAGAUCAGGAGCCAUUUUUAUCUAGGGACUCUUGAGUUUUGAUUUAAGAGCCACUCUAUCUAGGGACUCCAGGCUUCGAUUCUGAAUGCACCUGCUACAAGGUUGAACCGCCUGAGCCCAUGACACAACCCUUAAGCAUGCUUGUGAAAUUCCUCUUGUGGGCUCUAAAGCUGCUCUGUGAGGGCCCACAGACUGCUGCUCCCCUUGGAGGGACAGCCUUGUGGGUUUGCUCCAUGCUACUGACAAUAAAUCUCUUGCAUGGGAUUCCGGUGUGUGGUGUGGUCCUUGGACUUUGCAUGAACUUUGCAAGUGUCCUUUCAGUGGGAACAUUGAAGAGUGUGCUUCUGUCAUCCCAAAUGGUAAAGCCAUCUCCACACCUGGCUGCAUGUUGAAGCCUAUGACUCUGAGGCCACAAACCUGUACCACAUGGUACGGCCACUAAGUACUACAGGCAGCUGUAGCACAGUGGUGGAUAUAUAUAUAUAUAUAUCUGAGUGCACCUAAAUGUAGGAAAGGCACAUUAAACAUGAAGUAUAGAAGAAAAAUAAAAGUGUCCACCUGUAUACCUUGCCAUGUUCAUGUGGCAUGACCAGGACAGGAAGUUGCUGUGGGUGAGUGGGUGGAACUGAAGGCGGAGGACAUUACUGUAGGCUCCACUGUCUACUUAGCCUACACUCGAUUUAUGUUUCAAAGUUGUUCCUUUAGCUCACCUUCACUCUUUUGCUUUAUAAUCUUUUACAUUUUUUAAACUUUUUGACUUCUUUGUAAUAGCACUUAGCUUAAAACACAAAUAUAUGGGAUUGCUACUCAAAAAUAUUUUUUUCUUUAUAGUCUUACUCUAUGACAUUUUUUCAACCUUUCAAAUAUUUUAUUUUUUUUUCAAGGCCCUGGGUUCAAUCCCCAAUACCCACAAAUUCUUUUUUCUUUUUUAACUUUUUCUGUUGAAAACAAAGAUACAAACACACAUUAGCCUAGGCCUACUCAGGGUCAGGUCGUCAGUGUUGCAGUCUUCUAUCUCAACAUCUUGUCUCACAGGAACAUCUUCAGAGGCUGUGACACACACAUGUCAGUGUCCUCUCCUAUGACAAUAGUGGCUUUUCUAAGAAUCACUCCUGAAGGACCUGCC
Molecule: long non-coding RNA, 5764 nt
Filed under: Marmota monax (woodchuck)
Lineage: Eukaryota; Metazoa; Chordata; Mammalia; Rodentia; Sciuridae
Source: RNAcentral